Molecule: long non-coding RNA, 855 nt
Organism: Mustela erminea (ermine)
Lineage: Eukaryota; Metazoa; Chordata; Mammalia; Carnivora; Mustelidae
Exons: 4
Source: RefSeq, a predicted model, not a curated record
CUCCAUCCCAGCACCCUGGGAUCAUGACCUGAGCUGAAAGCGGCCGCCCAACUGACUGAGCCCCCCAGUCACCAAGACAACCUCAUCUUUAACUUCACCUGCUACUACGUACUCUGGGAGGCCUCAAACAUCAGCAAUGGCCACAAGACACCACUGGCAGCUCACCAGUAAGAAAGAUCACCUGUCCAGAUGUGGACAUCAGCCAUGGCGUUUCUUGUCAACUGCCAGCUCACCUGCCCCCGACACCGGACAUAGGUGUCUCCAUGUCUGCCAGUGACCUGUUGAGGGGCCCACAGAUUUUCUGUGUGCACUUCCUGUGUGCUUCUACCUCUCUGCUCAGGCAGCAGCCAGCAGAUUUCCCUCUGCUCUUCACAGGGGCAGCCUAGUGGUCAUUCCAAAGGUACAACUCACAAACCAGUGGGCUGCACCAACUAGGGAGGACUGGACAUUGUAACUGUCCAGUGGAAACACACAGAGCCUCGAACCAUGCUUCCGUAACAGCUCAAGUUCCUACCAUUGCCUGCUCCUGGCGAGUAGUGAUUGUCUGCGUGCUCCUUUUUCUCCUGGUACCAGCACUGAGACUGGCCCUGGGACCUCAGCUGUGAGUGGAUCUAAGAAGAGUUGUUGUUUUCUGUCUUCUUGCAAUUGGUGGUUGUUGGUUUUGUUCUUGUGUUGCAGCUGUGAGGUCAGGAAAACUGUUCCAAAUGGUUCAGUGUUGAUCCAGAAACCAGAGGAUCCUGCAAUAUGUGAACACAUGAACAACUUCAGGCUAGCUCUGUCCUGCGAUGGAGGCCCUUAGAGACAAUCCUGUCACACACACAUUUUACCCACAAUGCUGAGUAACUUAACUCAACA